UAGAGUUUGAUCAUGGCUCAGGACAAACGCUGGCGGAAUGUAUUAGGCAUGCAAGUCGUACGAACCUUCGGGUUAGUGGCGAACGGGUGAGUAACACGUGGGUAACCUGCCUCGUAGUGGGGAAUAACUCGCCGAAAGGCGAGCUAAUACCGCAUAACACCCCUGGUGAGAAUCCAGGAGGUAAAAGCUCCGGCGCUACGAGAGGGGCCCGCGGCCGAUUAGCUAGUUGGUGGGGUAACGGCCUACCAAGGCGACGAUCGGUAGCUGGUCUGAGAGGAUGGUCAGCCACACGGGGACUGAGAUACGGCCCCGACUCCUACGGGAGGCAGCAGCUAAGAAUCUUGCGCAAUGGGCGAAAGCCUGACGCUGCAAUUCCGCGUGGGGGACGAAGGCCCUCGGGUCGUAAACCCCUUUUGUGAGGGAAGAAGUUCUGACGGUACCUCACGAAUAAGACACGGCUAACUACGUGCCAGCAGCCGCGGUAAUUC
Molecule: ribosomal RNA, 488 nt
Filed under: uncultured Spirulina sp.
Lineage: Bacteria; Bacillati; Cyanobacteriota; Cyanophyceae; Spirulinales; Spirulinaceae
Description: bacterial SSU rRNA
Rfam family: Bacterial small subunit ribosomal RNA
Source: RNAcentral